RNAcentral lists this transfer RNA (73 nucleotides) under Kapaibacterium sp. (SeqCode). Its description in RNAcentral is "tRNA-Gly". It matches the Rfam family "tRNA". From Rfam's summary of the family: Transfer RNA (tRNA) molecules are approximately 80 nucleotides in length. Their secondary structure includes four short double-helical elements and three loops (D, anti-codon, and T loops). Further hydrogen bonds mediate the characteristic L-shaped molecular structure. tRNAs have two regions of fundamental functional importance: the anti-codon, which is responsible for specific mRNA codon recognition, and the 3' end, to which the tRNAs corresponding amino acid is attached (by aminoacyl-tRNA synthetases). tRNAs cope with the degeneracy of the genetic code in two manners: having more than one tRNA (with a specific anti-codon) for a particular amino acid; and 'wobble' base-pairing, i.e. permitting non-standard base-pairing at the 3rd anti-codon position. Lineage: Bacteria; Pseudomonadati; Bacteroidota; Eximiradiia; Eximiradiales; Kapaibacteriaceae (SeqCode). The record is from RNAcentral.
GCGGGAGUAGCUCAAUUGGUAGAGCAUCAGCCUUCCAAGCUGAGGGUCGCGAGUUCGAGUCUCGUCUCCCGCU